RNAcentral lists this ribosomal RNA (403 nucleotides) under Cardiodactylus busu. Its description in RNAcentral is "partial small subunit ribosomal RNA". The record is from RNAcentral. Lineage: Eukaryota; Metazoa; Arthropoda; Insecta; Orthoptera; Gryllidae.
UAUUAUAUUUAAUAUUACAAUAAUGCUUGGGUAGUAGUAAUUUAAUUUUUGAAACUCAAAGAAUUUGGCGGUGUUUUAGUCCUUUUAGAGGAAUCUGUCCUAUAAUUGAUAAUACACGAUUUGUUUUACUUAAUUUAUAUUAGUUUGUAUAUCGCCGUCAUAAGAUUAUUUUUAUUUUGAGAAUUAUUAAUUUUCUUGAUUUUAUAUUAAAAAAUAUGUCAGGUCAAGGUGCAGUUUAUAAUUAAGGUAGAGAUGGAUUACAAUAAUUUUAUUAUUAUUAUGGAUAAUUUUAUUUAAUUUUGAUUUGAAGGUGGAUUUAAUUGUAAGUUUAUUAUUAAUUUUUAUUUUGAUUUGGGCUCUAAAAUGUGUACAUAUCGCCCGUCGCUCUCACUUUAAAAUUGAG